RNAcentral lists this ribosomal RNA (2473 nucleotides) under Opitutia bacterium. Its description in RNAcentral is "bacterial LSU rRNA". It matches the Rfam family "Bacterial large subunit ribosomal RNA", at positions 363 to 2348 of the family's 2925-position model. Lineage: Bacteria; Pseudomonadati; Verrucomicrobiota; Opitutia. The record is from RNAcentral.
GGUGAAAGCCCCGUACGCGAAAGCCGGGACCGGCCCGCGGGAAUCCCAAGUAGGACGGCACACGUGAAACGCCGUCCGAAUCCGGGGGGCCCACCCUCCAAGGCUGAAUACUAGUCGGCGACCGAUAGCGAACCAGUACCGUGAGGGAAAGGUGAAAAGAACCCCGUCUAGGGGAGUGAAACAGAACCUGAAAUCAUGCGCCCGCAAACUGUGGGAGCCUGACCACUGAAUUGUUGGGUGUGAAAUGCAUUGCGUGUAUGUCCUCCAGAAUCUAGACCCCGAAGAAGAGUUCUAUCUAGGCUGCAGCGCCGACCUAAGACGUCGAGUGGCCGAACACAACAGCGGAUUGAACAAUUCCACCGCGGGCAGAAAAUGGAGAUUGGCGUAUUACGAAGCGUACGUGAACAAGCGGGCAGCCAUGCGAAGAGAGACUUCCCUCAAGAAGAACCGCCGCAUGAAGAGCCUUCUUCUGUCCCGCGUGCGCGGCAGCCUCCAGUGAUUCAGUGGUCAGGUGACCGCAUGCCUUUUGCAUAAUGAGCCUGCGAGUUGCUUUUCGGAGCAAGGUUAACCUGACCGCUGAGUUGUCAAGGGAUUCAGCAUUUUCCUUUGCCGCGAAAAGGCAGAGCCGCCGGGGGAAUGCCGGAUUUUUUUCUUUUGACGAUUCAGCGGUCAGGGGAGCCGAAGCGAAAGCGAGUGCGAACAGCGCGUUCAAGUUCCGGGGAGCAGACCCGAAACCGAGUGAUCCACCCAUGGGCAGGAUGAAACUCCGGUAACACGGAGCGGAGGUCCGAACCGGUACGUGUUGAAAAACGUUCGGAUGACCUGUGGGUAGGGGUGAAAGGCCAAUCAAACUCGGUGAUAGCUGGUUCUCUCCGAAAUAGCUUUAGGGCUAGCCUCGCGCCAUUGCCUACGGGGGUAGAGCACUGAUUGCUUGCGGGUCCCUUCCGGGAUACCAAAAGCUGUCAAACUCCGAAUACCGUACGGUUCAGCGCGGGAGUCAGACUGCGGGGGAUAAGCUCCGCAGUCGAAAGGGAAACAGCCCGGACCGCCGGCUAAGGUCCCCAAUUCGGACUGAGUGGAUACAAGGAUGUGGAAUUGCGCGAACAACCAGGAUGUUGGCUUAGAGGCAGCCAUCAUUUAAAGAGUGCGUAAUAGCUCACUGGUCGAGUGAUUCCGCGCCGAAAAUGAUCGGGACUAAGUCCGGAACCGAAGCCGCGGCCCGACCACUCAAUUCAAAGCAGCGGGGUGCGAGAAUUCCGGGUCGGCUGCGCGGCCGAGCCGGGAGAAAGCAUCCGGCGCUGUCGUGAAUUGAGUGGUCGGGGGUAGGAGAGCGUGACGCCCGGGUCGAAGCCGCCCCGCGAGGGACGGUGGACUGGGCGCCAGUGAAAAUGCAGGCAUGAGUAGCGAUAAAACAGGUGAGAAUCCUGUUCACCGAAAGCCCAAGGUUUCCUGGGGCAGGUUCGUCCACCCAGGGUUAGUCGGAUCCUAAGGCGAGGCCGAAAGGCGUAGUCGAUGGACCACAGGUUAAUAUUCCUGUACUUCCCGACCGGAGCGAUGGAGUGACGCAGAGUGCCAGGCCGGCCGUCUGAUGGAAUAGGCGGUCCAAGCGCGCAGGGCGACCGGAUAGGCAAAUCCGCCGGUCGCAAGCCCGAGGCGCGACGGGACGCGGAGUCUACGGACGAAGCGAAUCGGCUGCGGCUGUGCUGCCAAGAAAAGCUUCUAAGCGUCGAAGGUCGGGGAUCCGUACCGCAAACCGACACAGGCAGGCGGGUCGAGAAGACCAAGGUGCGCGGGAGAAACCACGUUAAGGAACUCGGCAAAAUAGCCCCGUAACUUCGGAAGAAGGGGCGCCCCCGGGGGUGAAGGGACUUGCUCCCCGAGCCUUUGGGGGCCGCAGUGAAACGGCCCAGGCGACUGUUUAGCAAAAACACAGCUCUCUGCCAACUCGCAAGAGGAAGUAUAGGGAGUGACACGUGACCAAUGCCGAAAGGUCAAGUGGAGGGGUUCGUUCCGUUCGCGGGACAAAGCUCCGAAACGAAGCCCCGGUGAAUGUCGGCCGUAACUAUAACGGUCCUAAGGUAGCGAAAUUCCUUGUCGGGUAAGUUCCGACCCGCACGAAUCGUGCAACGAUCUGGGCACUGUCUCAACGUGGUUCCCGGCGAAAUUGUAGUUCCGGUGAAAAUGCCGGAUACCCGCGGUAGGACGGAAAGACCCCGUGAACCUUUACUGUAAUCUGAUAUUGGCAUCCGGUCAUCGAUGUGUAGGAUAGGUGGGAGUCUUUGAACCCCCUUCGUCAGGAGGGGCGGAGACGCCGGUGAAAUACCACCCUUCGCUGGUUGGCUGUCUAACCCCGAACCCGUGAAUCCGGGCGGGGAACCGUGUCAGAGGGUCAGUUUGACUGGGGCGGUUUCCUCCGAAAAGGUAACGGAGGAGUUCGAAGGUUGGCUCAGCAUGGUCGGCAAUCAUGCACAGA